UUGCCGUGUUUAUUAGGUACAAUACAUUAGCUGGACAACAUUAACGGUUUAGUCGGGAGACCCUUAACAUCUGACAAUAUUAUCCGACACAACGAAGCCCGCAAAAAUAUAUGACUUUCGUUGUACAAGAUAUUAUUGCAGGUUGUAACAACAACAUACUCUAAUGACCAAUUGUAAACCUUACAUUUUUAACCCUUUGACCGUCAAAGACGUCAAUAGGGGAUAUUACUGCAAUGUUCUGCCGCUAGAGUGCAGCACUACCGACUCUAGUAAAUUCAUAGACUAACUUAUACAUACUGUGCCUUAAACUGUUUUUUGACAAGUUUUCACAGACAAUAAAAUAUGACAUUGAUCCAUCAAGGCGGUUUGUUAACAAGAGCCUACCGGUAAACGCGAAAAUCGAAAUUUAGUUAUCUGCCCCUUUAUCGCUCGAAUAUGCAAGAGUGAUAGAGAGAUUAGAUUAGAUAACGAAAUUCUUUCCUUGCUGUUGUUGUCUGUAGGUACAUGUUCGUACAUGUUUUGUGAUCGUCACGAAUAAAAAUCUUUUAUCUUUAUCUUUAAAUUUCGGCUUUCUUGUUUCGCGGUAGGCCAUGUGAUUGACGUGACGCUGACGUGUGAUGUGUCAAUGUGGUUUGUUUACUGUAUGUGCCACUAAGGUGCCACCUACGCAGAGCUUUGCCUAAUAUUCCCUAUUGAUGCGCGCGGCUACAGCCCAAUAUCAACCUUCAUGCAUUUUGACAAGGUUCACGAUGACGCGCCCUACACGAUAGGCGUGGCGGUCUAAGGGUUAACAGACGAAAAGCCAGAAAUUUGAAUGUGCUGCUGUUAGUACGGUAACGUUUAUCGACAUAAAUCAUUGGUCUCUUUUUAACAAUGAGGGACAAAUGUACAAUGUCGAAAAAGUUACCGAAUAAGGGAUGUUUCACUUACAAUCGAUGCUUACAAACGCUAUUAGUAAUAACAAUACAUUCCAUUUAUUUCCUUUUAAGGAAAUAAUUGCGCAAAUUAAAUUAGUCAAUUACGACUCCAGUAAAAGGAGGAUUCACAAUACAAUUUCAGACAUACCUACCCCUACUUAUCGUUAUGUCAAAAAAAGUUAGCAUAACUAUCUCAUUUUUUUACAUUCUCUAAAAAAUAUAGAACCAAUUUAAGCAUAAGGCUGAACUUCGAUGUUUUUUUAGUAACUAAGUAAAAUAGAAUACUUAGCCUAAAUUCGCCCACAUUUAAUGAUUCCAUUGUGUUACGAAAAUUAAUCAUACACAUGUGUACAGACAUAGACAUAACCGUUACAUAAUGGCAUCAACGAAGUAUUACGUUUGUCAAAUUGCAGUGAAUCCACCUUUCCAAAAACAAUUGAAAUUAUUUUGUUUAUUGACAAUUCUCAUAACACUAUAGAUAAGAAACACACACUAACAAAUAUUAUGCGUAAUGCGAAUGAUUCAGAAUUGCAUUUGCACUGACACUAACGUGUCUUGUACUUAAGUAAACGUAAUAGUAUUGAGUAAAUCACAACAAAAACAAUACUGGUUUAAUAAGAGGCAUUAUAUUGAUAGGUAUUCAUAAAUAUAACAAAGAAAAUAUCGCACUCAAAUAGUGUCACUGUCACUCCAUACGAUUUAAAAACAUUCUAUCGAUGAAAUAUAAUUAAUAAUAAUAUUUUUCUCAUAGCUUGGGUACGGUGACUGCUCUGUCACUUUACCAAGUUAUAUGAAAAAUACAAUAAUCAUAUCUUAUUUAUAUGAAUCAAUUUUGAAUUGUGACACUAUUCAUUGCAAUAAAAAUAAAAAAUACUCACAAACAAAACCUGGAUGCCAUGUGUGUUAGGGCCUGCUAACUUUAGGUAAAUUUAUUAAAAAUCCAUUACAUUAAAACGUGCCAAACGAAAUGUCUUUAGAAAUUCAAUUUUACUUCCAAAAAAUGCUAUUUCAAAAAUUAGACUGUUACACUAUUUAGUUAGUAUAAAAUUAUUUUUGUUAAACUAUUGUAGAAAAACUAUGCACUUCGGCACCAUUGGCAGUGUUUUAGCUCACCUAUUUACUACGAUAACAUCAAACAGAUUAGACAUGUUUAGACAUACAAUUUGGUUAAAUAGGUCAUUUAAUUCUGCUGUCCAAUUAUGUAUGGUCACAUUUAAAACAUGUAAA
Cydia splendana is the source of this 2144-nucleotide long non-coding RNA. RefSeq lists it as uncharacterized. The record is from RefSeq and is a predicted model, not a curated record. Lineage: Eukaryota; Metazoa; Arthropoda; Insecta; Lepidoptera; Tortricidae. The transcript is spliced from 2 exons.